AGUUUAACCUCUCCCAGGAAUGGAAUCUUUAACCAGUCAAUCAGGAGCUGCCUGAUCAGCACUAGCGAGCUCAUUCAACCGUGUAUACCAGGAAAUGGAGUGGAAUCGGAAUUUACAGGAGGGGUUUCUCUUGGCUGUGCUUGAACACCCCAUCUGAGAUGCAGAGAUGCUUUUCGGUGCAAAACAAAGAAGUCAGCAAAUGAAGGAAAAAAAAACCUGACCUUUUCCUGGUAGGCUGUAGAGAACCAGCAAUGACAGACCUCAGGAUUGAGGAGGUCUUGGGAAGGGCGAGACAGAUUCUUAUCUUGACUCUUGGCUUCUUGACUUCGGAGACCCGGGAAUCAGGCGAGAAUUACUUCACCUCUUACACUGGGCACCACCCAGCCACAGCCCAGGAGGAAGGUUGCAGAUUGGGCUGGAAACUCGCCACCCAGAGGAUCCACCAUCCUGAAGCCAAACGCGGACGGGAAGGAGGCCCAGGGAGGCUUACCUUGACAUAAAAUCGUCUUGCUUGUUCCCUGACCGACUCCUUCUGGUGGAUGGGACUCAAAAUGCUGAAGGGAGAAGCCGACGGUCUCCUAGAUUAGGUGACACCCAGAUAAGUGAGGCAGGAAGUUUGCUCUAAAAAGGGGCUCCUGGAACUUGGGGGAAGCUAGCACCUGCAUUGCCAUGGGACAUUUUGCUUGAGAGAAUUACUAUUCCAAUACACUCAGUUUGGCACAGAAUGAGAUACAGUGUGCGAAGGGCACUUGCGAGAAGAAAAAGUUUUCUUUUCAGGAAUGCAAACAUUACACUAGCACAACA
Molecule: long non-coding RNA, 804 nt
Organism: Suricata suricatta (meerkat)
Lineage: Eukaryota; Metazoa; Chordata; Mammalia; Carnivora; Herpestidae
Exons: 3
Source: RefSeq, a predicted model, not a curated record